RNAcentral lists this ribosomal RNA (119 nucleotides) under Pteropus alecto (black flying fox). The record is from RNAcentral. Lineage: Eukaryota; Metazoa; Chordata; Mammalia; Chiroptera; Pteropodidae.
GUCUAUGGCCACACCAACCCGACCAAGCCCGAUGCCGUCCGAUGUCGGAAGCUAAGCAGCGUCGGGCCUGGUUAGUACUUGGAUGGGAGACCACCUAGGAAGACCAGGUGCUGUAGGCG